Scylla paramamosain (green mud crab) is the source of this 2199-nucleotide long non-coding RNA. RefSeq lists it as uncharacterized. The record is from RefSeq and is a predicted model, not a curated record. Lineage: Eukaryota; Metazoa; Arthropoda; Malacostraca; Decapoda; Portunidae. The transcript has 4 exons.
UAGGCUUUCAACUCAUUGGGGAUACAUAUACUGGGAUAUGACCGAUUUUUGUUCUUUAACUUUACAGCUUGCGUGGUUUACAGGUUGAACAUCACAAAGUUAUAGCCUAACAAUAAGUAAAGGUAUAAUCAAGACCAACACAGCGGCUUUGUUAUGGUGCAAGAUCCUCUUCUGGUUAUCGGUGACAAAAUAGUUUUAGUUACCAAAGACCGGAUUCUGAAUAAAACUGUAACACGAGAAUUAACGAACGCCGCUGUAGGAAAAAUGUAUCUCUAAGGCGAUCAGCUGGUGCCAACAAAUGCAGUGCCUGGAGGGUCUCAGCGCCGCUCGGCUCAGGUGGAACAUAGGCAACACAAAGGCAACACAGGAGCUCCGGGAAGCGUGUGAACUUCGUCGUCCCGUUCAGCUUUACUCCAGCGGGGAGCUUUCAUCCACCGUUACUGGACUGCAACGAGGCGAACUCCCUCCUGCAACUCAGCGUCCAGACUUGCCUCACGCUUCUGUCGUUGUCAUACAAACUUCUGCGUUGCGUCCCUGUGCUUGAAGGUGAAGUUUGGGAAAGUGCGUGUAGAUCGAGGGAGUGAGCGUUGGCGGAGAGAUUGACUGUUCCUACAUGACUUGGAACACCUGCCCAAACACUCAUCAAGGGGGAGUUUUAAGUCUGCACGAUGGUUCUUUUUGUAGGAAUUAUUAUUAUUAUUAUUAUUAUUUAUUUAUUUUAUUUUUUUUGCAAAUUUGGGUUUGGUAAGUCUUUUUGUUUAUCAUUAUAUUGAACUUAACGAAGAAUUACGUACUUAGGUUCCCUUGAGAUGACUUUGUUGUAGCAAUGUAAGUUUUGAUAAGUUGAAUUUCGAUGUUCUUCUUUGGGCAACUUUGACAAUGCAUCUCUAUUUGUGAGAAGAGUAAGUUGUGGAGUCUCUUUUUUAUGUAAAUAAAACUAGGAAUUUAGUCGAUCUAUUCUGUUAUCGGAGUUAAUUUCACCAGGAACUGUUUGAAUUCUUGUGAGAUGCGACGGUCGUUGUGUUCCUUCCUUGCUUGAUAUUGGCGAGAUUUUCAUAUUAAUUAGGUAAAACAUGCACUCAUUUUUUCUUUUUAUUAUUAUUUUCAGGAUGAAUCUGAUGAUAAAUUACUUCGACUGGAGUGAGGUGAGUACAUUGCUGCUCCUUUGUUUUCUCGACAAUUAUAGGUUUUCGGUACACAGAUAGUUACUUAACUGAAUGACUGACUGACUUAUUGCUUUAUGAUACCUCAUCAAAGUGCACGGGUGGGUGUACAGUACGAAGCUUACGGUGCAACAUUUACGCACAGUCGUAAGUCGUAUCAAUUCAGAGUUGCCUGCUUUUCCUGCUCUAAUUUGUUAUGCUGUUAAUGUCAUCAUGCUUCAUUUGUAUCCGCAGUUAGUUAAAAAUAAUGGUUUGUUUCCCGGUGAGUGGCGUCAGGUGAAAAUUACCUGAAAUUACUACUGUUUUGAAAGUAUUAUAUUCUGUAAUCUGUGCAAAAAACAUUAAUGAUUAAUUUCCAUCCUGACGUGCAAUUACUCGUAACGAGUUUCUUUGUGUGUGUGUGUGUGUGUGUGCUGUGUGUGUGUGUGUGUGUGUGUGUGUGUGUGUGUGUGUGUGUGUGUAAGUGGGCAUGUGUGGGCGUAACAUAACCAUCAAACAUUAUAUUUUAUGGCAAUCGCUUAGAACUUUAGACGACUAUGUAUAAAAACCAGAGAAAAUUUCCAGGACUCACUGUGCAUACUGAAUGAAGCCUUUGUCCAUCACAGGUCUCCACAAAAUGCGAGGAAGUAGUUAAUUAGUGUAACCAUACAAUUAACACCACUUUGCUAAGAAUCACAACUAUUAAGGGAAGGAGUAUUGUCCAUCACGUUAGAAAUUAUGUUUGUAUCCGAUGAAUUGAUUACUGACAGAGACUCGUGUGAUUUUUUUUCUUGUAUUUUUAUUAGUUUGUAGAAUGGCACGGCAACUCAUGCAUGGUAUUGUUUUGUGUACUGUCUGUCCAUCGCUUGUUUUUAUUUUUUAUGCGUACCUUUUCGUUAAUAUGCAUGAACUAAAACUCAUUUCCUGCACAGCUUUCGUGUACGUGCAUGUAUUUGUUAGAUUCCAGCAAACUCUCUCUCUCUCUCUCUCUCUCUCUCUCUCUCUCUCUCUCUCUCUCUCUCUCUCUCUCUCUCUCUCUCUCUCUCUCUCUCUCUCA